AUCUAAAAAGCUAGCCCAAAGCCUUAAUUAAAAAUUAGAUAUUACUAGUAAUUAAAAACCCAACAUAAUCAACUAAAUCAUUUUUCCUCCUCAGUAUGGGAGACAGAAAAG
This 111-nucleotide ribosomal RNA is filed under the name Oryzias sakaizumii (northern medaka). RNAcentral's name for it is "partial 16S ribosomal RNA". The record is from RNAcentral. Lineage: Eukaryota; Metazoa; Chordata; Actinopteri; Beloniformes; Adrianichthyidae.